RNAcentral lists this ribosomal RNA (497 nucleotides) under uncultured bacterium. RNAcentral's name for it is "partial 16S ribosomal RNA". It matches the Rfam family "Bacterial small subunit ribosomal RNA", at positions 28 to 507 of the family's 1533-position model. The record is from RNAcentral.
GAUGAACGCUGGCGGCGUGCCUAAUACAUGCAAGUCGAGCGAACAGACGAGGAGCUUGCUCCUCUGACGUUAGCGGCGGACGGGUGAGUAACACGUGGAUAACCUACCUAUAAGACUGGUAUCACUUCGGGAAACCGGAGCUAAUACCGGAUAAUCUAUUGAACCGCAUUGUUCAAUAGUGAAAGACGGUUUUGCUGUCACUUCUAGAUGGAUCCGCGCCGCAUUAGCUAGUUGGUAAGGUAACGGCUUACCAAGGCAACGAUGCGUAUCCGACCUGAGAGGGGGAUCGGCCACACUGGAACGGAGACACGGUCCAGACGCCUACGGGAGGCAGCAGUAGGGAAUCUUCCGCAAUGGGCGAAAGCCUGACGGAGCAACGCCGCGUGAGUGAUGAAGGUCUUCGGAUCGUAAAACUCUGUUAUUAGGGAAGAACAAAUGUGUAAGUAACUAUGCACGUCUUGACGGUACCUAAUCAGAAAGCCACGGCUAACUACGUG